Biomphalaria glabrata is the source of this 73-nucleotide non-coding RNA. The record is from Rfam. NCBI's taxonomy places the organism in Eukaryota, Metazoa, Mollusca, Gastropoda, Planorbidae.
GUUUUCGUAGUGUAGUGGUAAUCACAUCUGCCUAACACGCAGAAGGUCCUGGGUUCGAUACCCAGCGGAAACA